RNAcentral lists this non-coding RNA (313 nucleotides) under Neotoma lepida (desert woodrat). The record is from RNAcentral. Lineage: Eukaryota; Metazoa; Chordata; Mammalia; Rodentia; Cricetidae.
AAUUCCAGCGAGAGACAGAGGGAGUGAGCGGGCGGGUUGGAAGAGCACAGUGUGCAGAGCCGCGCUCCGGGCGUCCUGGGAAGGCAGCUUGGGAGUGAGAGGGGCUUCUCCUCCGGGCCUGCCGCCCCCCCCCGCCCCAGCCCUCCGGCUGACCUAGCACCAGCGAACGCAACCCUCGCCCCCUCUGGGAAACUUUGCCCAUUGCAACGGGCGGACACUUUCGCACUGGAACUUACAAUCUGCGAGUGAGGAUAGGACUCCCAGGCGCCGGGGAGGAAAUUUUUGUCUAUUUGGGGACAGUGUUCUCUGCCUC